RNAcentral lists this transfer RNA (70 nucleotides) under Anolis garmani. RNAcentral describes it as "tRNA-Ala". It matches the Rfam family "tRNA". Rfam says of the family: Transfer RNA (tRNA) molecules are approximately 80 nucleotides in length. Lineage: Eukaryota; Metazoa; Chordata; Lepidosauria; Squamata; Anolidae. The record is from RNAcentral.
GAAGGCUUUAGCUUAAUAAAAGUGCUUGAGUUGCAUUCAGGAGAUAUGGGAUAGUUCCUCAUAAGUCUUA